Molecule: ribosomal RNA, 490 nt
Filed under: uncultured bacterium
Lineage: Bacteria
Description: partial 16S ribosomal RNA
Rfam family: Bacterial small subunit ribosomal RNA
Source: RNAcentral
AGUGAACGCUGGCGGCAGGCCUAAUACAUGCAAGUCGAACGGCAGCACAGCAGAGCUUGCUCUGUGGGUGGCGAGUGGCGGACGGGUGAGGAAUACAUGGGAAUCUGCCCAGUCGUGGGGGAUAACGUAUGGAAACGUACGCUAAUACCGCAUGCGCCCUUUGGGGGAAAGCCGGGGACCUUCGGGCCUGGCGCGAUUGGAUGAGCCCAUGUUCGAUUGGCUAGUUGGCGGGGUAAAGGCCCACCAAGGCGACGAUCGAUAGCUGGUCUGAGAGGAUGAUCAGCCACACUGGGACUGAGACACGGCCCAGACUCCUACGGGAGGCAGCAGUAGGGAAUAUUGGACAAUGGGCGCAAGCCUGAUCCAGCCAUGCCGCGUGAGUGAAGAAGGCCCUCGGGUUGUAAAGCUCUUUUGUCCGGAAAGAAAAGCAUUCGGUUAAUACCCGGGUGUUCUGACGGUACCGGAAGAAUAAGCACCGGCUAACUUCGUG